GACGAACGCUGGCGGCGUGCUUAACACAUGCAAGUCGAACGGAAAGGCCCUUCGGGGUACUCGAGUGGCGAACGGGUGAGUAACACGUGGGUGAUCUGCCCUGCACUUUGGGAUAAGCCUGGGAAACUGGGUCUAAUACCGAAUAGGACCGCGCGCUUCAUGGUGUGUGGUGGCAAGCUUUUGCGGUGUGGGAUGGGUCCGCGGCCUAUCAGCUUGUUGGUGGGGUAAUGGCCUACCAAGGCGCCGACGGGUAGCCGGCCUGAGAGUGUGACCGGCCACACGGGGACUGAGAGACGGCCCAGACUCCUACGGGAGGCAGCAGUGGGGAAUAUUGCACAAUGGGCGCAAGCCUGAUGCAGCGACGCCGCGUGAGGGAUGACGGCCUUCGGGUUGUAAACCUCUUUCACCGGGGACGAAGCGCAAGUGACGGUACCUGGAGAAGAAGCACCGGCCAACUACGUG
Molecule: ribosomal RNA, 462 nt
Filed under: uncultured bacterium
Lineage: Bacteria
Description: partial 16S ribosomal RNA
Rfam family: Bacterial small subunit ribosomal RNA
Source: RNAcentral